GAGUUUGAUCCUGGCUCAGAUUGAACGCUGGCGGCAGGCCUAACACAUGCAAGUCGAGCGGAUGACGGGAGCUUGCUCCUUGAUUCAGCGGCGGACGGGUGAGUAAUGCCUAGGAAUCUGCCUGGUAGUGGGGGACAACGUUUCGAAAGGAACGCUAAUACCGCAUACGUCCUACGGGAGAAAGCAGGGGACCUUCGGGCCUUGCGCUAUCAGAUGAGCCUAGGUCGGAUUAGCUAGUUGGUGGGGUAAUGGCUCACCAAGGCGACGAUCCGUAACUGGUCUGAGAGGAUGAUCUGCCACACUGGAACUGAGACACGGUCCAGACUCCUACGGGAGGCAGCAGUGGGGAAUUUUGGACAAUGGGGGCAACCCUGAUCCAGCCAUGCCGCGUGAGUGAAGAAGGCC
Molecule: ribosomal RNA, 405 nt
Filed under: bacterium enrichment culture clone ALO1_GLFRUDD03HGJNT
Lineage: Bacteria
Description: bacterial SSU rRNA
Rfam family: Bacterial small subunit ribosomal RNA
Source: RNAcentral